AGCUCCGCAAGCUAAGAGGGAAUCGGGUGAAAAUCCCGGACAGACCCGCUCCUGUAAGUGAAGAAAAGGCCUGUUCAGUUCUAAACCACUGAAGCGAACGCUUUGGGAAGGUGAACAGCGCAAACACAAGUCAGUAGACCUGCCAAUGCCAAU
RNAcentral lists this non-coding RNA (153 nucleotides) under bovine gut metagenome. The record is from RNAcentral.